This 915-nucleotide ribosomal RNA is filed under the name Triticum aestivum (bread wheat). RNAcentral's name for it is "partial small subunit ribosomal RNA". Lineage: Eukaryota; Viridiplantae; Streptophyta; Magnoliopsida; Poales; Poaceae. The record is from RNAcentral.
AUGCACCUCUGUACACCGCACGUACGCCGGUAUAUAUUACCGUCCGUCGGUCGCUCCGAAUGGUUCCUUUCGACAACAGCGAUCUACUUUCCGGCCUUCACAAAGGAGCCAAAGGCAAACAGCGGAGAGAAGGAAAAAGAAAAGAAAAUUGCCGCGCGUCAAAGUCACCGUCCUCCGUCACGUUCUACACGUUUGCAGACGUGCAGCAAGUGUUGCGCCGGGGAGGAGAUAUUCCGCGAUGCGGUGCAUGCACGCCGAUCUCCUCGUUCAUCCGUAUCGACGCUGGAACAAGGCGCGGACGUUGACGGGCCACGCAUCGGCGGCGCCGCCGUCGACGAUCCUGCCGGCGACGAUGAGGUUGACGGCCUCGGUCGGGUGGAACGCGUCCCAGAACACGUACUUGGAGCGGUCCUCGCACAGGGUGGCGGAGCUCGAGUUGGCGACGCCCAUGCAGAGGAACGGCGGGAAGCUGCCGCCGCAGCAAGGGUCCAGCGCCUCCUCGAAACCUACGACACAGAUCCAACUCUCAGUCCACGAAAUGCGAACCUGCCUGCAGCACGCAAGAAAGAAAAUCCUGCUACCGUAUUGACGGUGCUGCCGGAUGAUCUCCAUGACGAUGCCGUGGGUGUUGGUGUAGACGAACGCGCUCUCCGGGCCCGUCUCCUGGUUCAGCCUGCCGAUCAUCCUCUUCAGCCUCCUGUUGUAGCCUUCGCAGAGCCUGUUCACAGCCGCCGAACACUCGCCCGCAGGGAUGAACUCCAGGGCGCGCACGUACGGUAUGCAGCCCAGCGGGCCGACGUCGGCGAUGACAAAUUUCCUAGCCCCGAGCUCGUUCAGCCGCUUCGUUUUGGAAGCGAAUUGCAAGAUGGUGAGCUCAGAACGGGAGCAAAGCAGAGAAAAUUACAGUGCUGGUGA